Molecule: long non-coding RNA, 1491 nt
Organism: Pundamilia nyererei
Lineage: Eukaryota; Metazoa; Chordata; Actinopteri; Cichliformes; Cichlidae
Exons: 2
Source: RefSeq, a predicted model, not a curated record
UGGAUCACUGUGACGAUGGUCUUCUGUCUGUCUGCUGGAAGUUUGGCUGAAAUAGACUUAAACCGGCUCGCAGGACUUGCAAAUCAGAUAAGGACAAAUAUCCGAAACAGGUACAACAUUGAAGGAUUGUAUGCCAUGGCUGCAAGUAUUCCAAAGGAUGAAAACCAAGUUUCCUAUGACCUCACAAAGGUGAUGCCAAACCAACAGACUCAAUUGAAUGACGGCAUCCUCAGGACUUCUAGACUUGUGGUAGCCACAAAGAAAGACGUAACUAAGGUCACUCGGUCAGGGACAGUUCACUAUACUGAACAUGCUGAGUGGCGUGUUCUGCAGAAUCUACAGCUUUACGGUAAUGGUGAUUUGUUGGUCUUCUUCUCUUAUGCCUCUCCAUGUGAUGAAAAGUGUGCAAAUCCAACAGGAAACUUAGGGAUCAUUGGUGGACUCAGCAGUCUCUUUAGUCAAUCUGGGUGGGGUGCAAAGGCGUUUGUAUUUAACACUUUAUUCAGGCCACAUGGGGGGGACAUUAAUUCAGACACGAUACAUAAGGCCCUGACAAAUCUUAAAGCCAUUGGUCGCCAUAACAUAUUUCGCUGUUACAGGCCUGAUAAUGGUCAUUUCCAUUGCAUCAAAUGCUUCAGUAGUGAUCAGAUUGACCCAAACUGUAUCUCAUAAUGCACCAACUCAUUGAUGUAACAAGGAACGUUUAAAAAAAACAAGUGAAUAAACAAAUGUUUUAGAAGCUGAAGUUUCUACUCGCGCUCUACUUGUUCACUUUCUUUCUCUAACAUGGACUUUACUGUCUGAGCCAUUUAAGGUCCAGCUAGGCUUAAAUUUGUCUUUGCUAACUGAUACAAACCAUAAAUUGCUAUUUUUAUUCUUAUUUUUAAAGUAAUGCAGCUCAGUUUAGAGGGAAUCGCCCCAAAACCUCUGACGAUAAUCGUGCUGGAACUGAUUUGACUGUAACAAAUUUAUAUCGAAUGGCUCGAAUCGAAUCGAAUUUUACUGCUUAAAUAGGCAGAGCCAUAAAUCCCAGUGAACCUGGAGAGCACCAUUUAUGUGCUUUUUCACUCACUGUUCAUGUUUAUUUGACUCCCCGAGGAUUCGAACAAGCAACCAGAAACUAAUUACAUACAUAAGAAUCACCUUCAACAUUACACAUGAUUAGUAAACAUUAUCAAAUAUAAUUUGUUUUGUUAACAGUAGAUUAUUUACUAAAAGUUAAUCACCCAUCAGUUUACCAUUUAUUAAGAAUAAUUGUUGUGAAGUGUUCCUUUUGAAUGUGUUUGUUGGUGCUUUUAUUUUGAAUGUUUGCAGCUUCACUUUGAGUGACACCUGGAACUGAACCUGUAACGUUCAGGUUAACUGAAGAGAAAGCUGAUAGAAAACUACAGUCUGUAUUUACAUCGUUUCAAUGGAGAAUUGAUGUUUUUACAUCAUUUGUGUCUUUAAAGCCUGAUGAAAUCUUCUCUGAUUAAAGCUUUGCUCAGCAAA